AUGGCAUUCAGGUUGCGCUUGGCUUAUUUAGAGCUUUGUUUUUUUCUUCUCCCAGUUAAGAAAUACCAUCUGGGUCCUGGAGAGAUGGCUCAGUGGUUAAGAGUUCUUACUGAACUGCUCUUGCAGAGAAACCAGGUCCAGUUCCAGCACCCACAUGGCAGAUCACAACCACUUGGCUUUUUUUAUAUAUUGGUUUAUUUUAUGUAUAUUAGUGCCCUAUAUGCAUGUAUGUCUUUGUGCCAGAAGACAGCUUCAGAUCCUAUUACAGAUGGUUGUGAGCCACCUUGUGGUUGCUGGGAAUUGAACUUGGGACCUCUGGAAGAGCAGCCGGUGCUCUUAACCUCUGAGCCAUCUCUCCAGUCCCCUCCCCAAAGGAUCUGGUACCCUCUUCAACUUCUACAUGUUUCUACAUGCACUUGGUGCACAGACAUUUGCUCGAGCACACACACACAUUCACAUAAGGUAAAUAAUUUUUAAAAAUACCUUGAAUUAGAUUAUCAGAUUUCAAUUCUUCUCUGCUAGUGAUCACUAUUAUGAGAGAUGAACUUCAAAAGGCAUAACCUUGUCACCAUCUGGUCACUCCCUGUCACUACAGACCUCUCCCUCAGGACACGAUGACCCUAUGUUGACCACAUUAUCCCGGUCUGACUUACGUGUUUCCCUAACCAAAGCCUUUUGGAACCCUUCUGCAGGGAGAUCAGAGAGAAUGAAAGCUUAUUUGAAGAGUGCAGAUGGCUUUUUUGUCCUAAAUAAAAGCACCACGAUCGGCAAGCAUGUGGAUUCUGACCUCGUCUUACAGGUGAGAACACAGCCCACCCCUGCCCCAUGAUACUCCAGGGCUCCUUAGUGUCGGGUAGAUGCAAGGCUCUCAAAGCCCAAAGACUGCAUCUGGCAAGCAGCCACCUCAAUCCUCGUGCUGCCAAAAGUCCAUCAUCAUGUGCAGUAAUCUCCCAGGUGGAGGAGGGGAGCUGAGUGUCACCUGGAGGUGAUGGGCCUCCCGCCUGUUGCUGUACACAUUCUCACGUGUCUCAAGUUGUCCCCUGUCCAGAAGCAGCCUUCUGGGUGAGUAGAUGCAAGGCUCUCAAAGCCCAAAGGCUGCAUCUGGCAAGCAGCCACCUCAAUCC
RNAcentral lists this long non-coding RNA (1124 nucleotides) under Cricetulus griseus (Chinese hamster). Its description in RNAcentral is "lncRNA (ENSCGRG00000024474.1)". Lineage: Eukaryota; Metazoa; Chordata; Mammalia; Rodentia; Cricetidae. The record is from RNAcentral.